AGCGAACGCUGGCGGCAGGCCUAACACAUGCAAGUCGAACGAACCUUUCGGGGUUAGUGGCGGACGGGUGAGUAACACGUGGGAACGUGCCGUUAUGUUCGGAAUAACUCAGGGAAACUUGUGCUAAUACCGAAUGUGCCCUUCGGGGGAAAGAUUUAUCGCCCUUAGAGCGGCCCGCGUCUGAUUAGCUAGUUGGUUGAGGUAAUGGCUCACCAAGGCGACGAUCAGUAGCUGGUCUGAGAGGAUGAUCAGCAACAUUGGGACUGAGACACAGCCCAGACUCCUACGGGAGGCAGCAGUGGGGAAUCUUGCGCAAUGGGCGAAAUCAUGACGCAGCCAUGCCGCGUGAAUGAUGAAGGUCUUAGGAUUGUAAAAUUCUUUCACCGGGGACGGUACUGACGGUACCCGGAGAAGAAGCCCCGGCUAACUUCGUG
Molecule: ribosomal RNA, 434 nt
Filed under: uncultured bacterium
Lineage: Bacteria
Description: partial 16S ribosomal RNA
Rfam family: Bacterial small subunit ribosomal RNA
Source: RNAcentral